GUAGGGAAUAUUGGGCAAUGGAGGCAACUCUGACCCAGCCAUGCCGCGUGCAGGAUGACGGCCCUCUGGGUUGUAAACUGCUUUUAUACGGGAAGAAAAAAUACUACGUGUAGUAUACUGACGGUACCGUAAGAAUAAGGAUCGGCUAACUCCGUGCCAGCAGCCGCGGUAAUACGGAGGAUCCAAGCGUUGUCCGGAUUUAUUGGGUUUAAAGGGUGCGUAGGCGGAUCUUUAAGUCAGUGGUGAAAGCCUGCAGCUUAACUGUAGAAUUGCCAUUGAAACUGAAGAUCUUGAAUGUGGUUAAAGUAGGCGGAAUGUAUCAUGUAGCGGUGAAAUGCUUAGAUAUGCUACAGAACACCGAUAGCGAAGGCAGCUUGCUGAACCAUUAUUGACGCUGAGGCACGAAAGCGUGGGGAGCGAACAGGAUUAGAAACCCUUGUAGUCC
This 445-nucleotide ribosomal RNA is filed under the name uncultured bacterium. RNAcentral's name for it is "partial 16S ribosomal RNA". It matches the Rfam family "Bacterial small subunit ribosomal RNA", at positions 354 to 796 of the family's 1533-position model. The record is from RNAcentral.